This 2349-nucleotide long non-coding RNA is filed under the name Solanum tuberosum (potato). Its description in RNAcentral is "long non-coding RNA (STUB_LNC011889)". Lineage: Eukaryota; Viridiplantae; Streptophyta; Magnoliopsida; Solanales; Solanaceae. The record is from RNAcentral.
AAAAAUAAAAAGUUUUGACUAAAGAUUAUAAAUGAAAAUACAAGAGUUGAUAAAAUGAGAUUUGUUAGAAAUACAACAACACGGAGAAAUAGUUCGUCUUUUGGGGAAUUCAACUAAGUUAAUUAACAAUUAUAAAGUUAGAGUCAAACAACAAACAAUAAAUAAUCACAAUUAAAUAAUUAAAGAGUAAGGGAGAAAUUGAAUUCGGGCCCCUUUUUGGCCAAUUUCGUUGUUGUUUUUGGAGUUUAACACAAUUCCCGUUUUUGGUAUACAGCCGAUGUAUAUCAGUGUAUAUCGGUCAUUUCUUGGCCCCUUUUCAUGUAUUUCUUGCUUCCGGACACCUGCAUUUUUUAUUCCCGACCUCAACCUGUGGCUGCUGCAUUUUUUACCAUAUAUGUUGGCGUAUAUCGCCGUAUAUCAGUGUAUACAAGCUAUGUUUCAGCCUUUUGAAACCUAGUAUUUUGUAUCAGCUUCCAAAACUUGGAAACAAUGGUGAAGUUGACUCGAAGAAGGAGGAAUGUUGGGUUUCAACCAACUCGAGAUGCAAGAGAAAAAGGGGAGUCCUACGGACUCAAACCGAGGUAGUUCAUGCAUAAAAAAAAUGACAACAAUUAGAAUGAUAAUUUAUUUAACUUGAAAUUGUUCACAACCAUUGUUGAAAAGAAAAUACACGAGAUAACUUCAUGAAUAAACACACUAAAAUUUGAACCACCGCAAAGAACAAGUUAUGCAACUACUAAAUUAUUUGACAUUUUUAUUACUGCCUAAGGAAGGAAGAAAUAGCACAGUAGGAGCAAUGUAUUGUAGAAUAUCAUAGACAUUGAUAAUUGAAUGUUAUAUCACCCAUUUAAACUCAAAAUUAAAUCACAACUAAAGGCUGAGGACAAAUUGGACAAUUAGGAGCAUUAAUUCAAAUUAAGACUCAACUAAUUCUCCGCAUGUACUAGCUAAAAUUAUUCAAAGUAAUCACAUUUUAUACUAAACAGUGGUCAGCAAGGACUAAAGCUAAACAAUAGGUAGCAAACAAGUUGGAACAACUAGAUUAUGAUUUUUACGCUUGGGCUAAACAAAGAACCUAAUCAGCUAUACAGAAGCUGGAAUUAAAUUUUAAGUAGAAUCUGCCAUGCUGAACAUAGAACAAAACAACAUUUAAGAUAAAUCGAAAUAGAACCGACAGGCAACCAAACCACAACUUAGAUGAAUAAUAUAGAAUUUCGAAUAACCAUGAACUUUGAUAUGCUAAGAACGAAAAAUAGUGAAAACAGAAUGGCAACCUACAGUGCUGAUUAACAAAUAUGACUUUAAGGAAGAGGUAGCCUCGUGCCCUUUUCGAACUUAACGAGAUCUUAAUGAUAUCAAAAUGCAGCUACGAUAAGGAUGCGAAUCUCAAUCUGACAAACGAUAAGAAAGUGAACUCAACUCUGCCAAAACUUACAACAAACAAUCAGUUUUAUAUAACUCUAAUAGGCAAUAGCACAAAUAAGAACUAUAGCGUACUCGAUCAACGCGAUUUUCCAACAGAAUGCUUAAUCAAGGUAAUACCAAACAUUAAUCAACCAACCUCAAAAUAUAAGCUCGUUCUGAAGGUCGGGCAGUGACAUUCAAUGAGAUGAUUAGUCAUAUAACUUGAAUACGAGAUGCGAGCAGGUGAAUAUAGACAUUGGAAACGAGCUAGAGGAAGGCUGAUCAACUAACACUUAAACCAAGAAUCAGGAGUUCUUUCAUACAAACUAAGCUUCCCACAAGACAAAACAGAUUUUUGUUACUAAAUCACCCAAUCUUAACACAUAAUAACCAAUACAAUGAUCAAGAAAGGUAUACUUAAAACUAACAGGAAUUACACAAAGUAAAGUUAGAAGUAUUUUACCUUCUUCUGGGCAGCGAGACUAGGACGACGAGCUUGAAUGAUUCGACCUUCGACCCACCAGCAGAUGAGUAAAAGAACUUGAAAGAAAAUAAAAAAUCUGAGGCUCAAACCUUCGUGGGUUCGAUUUCGUGGAAUACUAUUCUCCAACCUUCAAAAUUCUAUUCUCUUCCUCUACCGUCCCCCUCAAUAGUGAUCAUAAGAGAGCAAUAUAUAGCCGGAAAUUCGGAGGAAAUCCCCGUGAAAUUUCGAAUUUUUUUUUCAAAUUUUCAUUCUGCCCCUUUUCAAUCCAACAGUGGUAAGCUUUGAAAAAAAAUCCCUAAAAAUGGGGAAAAGGGACGUGAGGGUGAUGGGGGGUCUGCAGGGUAUGGGUUUUGCAGAGCAGUUGGACAAGCUUUUCGGAUUUUGCUGAAUUUUUCUGGGUUGCGUCUGGAGGAAGAAGAAGAGUAUGGGCGGUGGGGUUCUCUGUCAGCUACUGAUGUACG